RNAcentral lists this ribosomal RNA (417 nucleotides) under uncultured eukaryote. Its description in RNAcentral is "bacterial SSU rRNA". It matches the Rfam family "Eukaryotic small subunit ribosomal RNA", at positions 592 to 1018 of the family's 1831-position model. The record is from RNAcentral.
CAAGAACGUAUACUAAAGUUGUUGCGGUUAAAAAGCUCGUAGUUGGAUUUCUGUGAAGGACUGCCGGUCCGCAUUAUGUGCGUGUAUCUGGUUCGGCCUUUGCAUCUUCUUAGAGCACGUGCGGAUUCAUUUUCGUACGGAUUCUAAGACUUUUACUUUGAGGAAAUUAGAGUGUUCACGGCAGGCAAUCGCCUUGAAUAUGUUAGCAUGGAAUAAUAAUAUAGGCACGAGAUCCUAUUUUGUUGGUUUCUAGGAGCUCAUGAAUGAUAAAUAGGGACAGUUGGGGGCAUUCGUAUUACGGCGUCAGAGGUGGAAUUCUUAGAUUGCCGUACGACGAACUACUGCGAAAGCAUUUGCCAAGGAUGUUUUCAUUGAUCAAGAACGAAAGUCGAGGGAUCGAAGACGAUUAGAUACCGU